UUUCCGUAGGUGAACCUGCGGAAGGAUCAUUAAAGAGUUAGGGUCUUCUAGGCCCGACCUCCCAACCCUAUGUUUAUUGUACCUCUGUUGCUUCGGCGGACCCGUCUCACGACCGCCGGAGGUCCGCUGAAAGGCGUCCUCUGGCCAGCGUCCGUCGAUAGCCAACCCCAAAACUCUGAAUAAAUCAUGUCAUGUGUCUAAGUUUAUGAUAAAAUAAAGCAAAACUUUCAACAACGGAUCUCUUGGUUCUG
RNAcentral lists this unclassified non-coding RNA (251 nucleotides) under plant metagenome. Its description in RNAcentral is "partial contains small subunit ribosomal RNA, internal transcribed spacer 1, and 5.8S ribosomal RNA". The record is from RNAcentral.